UACGGCCAUACCAACUUGAGAAUGCCCAAUCUUGACCGAUCUUGGAAGCUAAGCAAAUUUGGGCCUGGUUAGUACUUGGAUGGGAAACCAAUAAUUUGCAGGUGCAUCUGUUU
This 113-nucleotide ribosomal RNA is filed under the name Periophthalmus magnuspinnatus. The record is from RNAcentral. Lineage: Eukaryota; Metazoa; Chordata; Actinopteri; Gobiiformes; Gobiidae.